This 492-nucleotide ribosomal RNA is filed under the name uncultured bacterium. RNAcentral describes it as "partial 16S ribosomal RNA". It matches the Rfam family "Bacterial small subunit ribosomal RNA", at positions 29 to 507 of the family's 1533-position model. The record is from RNAcentral.
AGUGAACGCUGGCGGUAGGCCUAACACAUGCAAGUCGAACGGCAGCACAGUAAGAGCUUGCUCUUACGGGUGGCGAGUGGCGGACGGGUGAGGAAUACAUCGGAAUCUACUUUUUCGUGGGGGAUAACGUAGGGAAACUUACGCUAAUACCGCAUACGACCUACGGGUGAAAGCAGGGGACCUUCGGACCUUGCGCGAUUGAAUGAGCCGAUGUCGGAUUAGCUAGUUGGCGGGGUAAAGGCCCACCAAGGCGACGAUCCGUAGCCGGUCUGAGAGGAUGAUCAGCCACACUGGAACUGAGACACGGUCCAGACUCCUACGGGAGGCAGCAGUGGGGAAUAUUGGACAAUGGGCGCAAGCCUGAUCCAGCCAUACCGCGUGGGUGAAGAAGGCCUUCGGGUUGUAAAGCCCUUUUGUUGGGAAAGAAAAGCAGCAGGUUAAUACCCCGCUGUUCUGACGGUACCCAAAGAAUAAGCACCGGCUAACUUCGUG